AUUGAACGCUGGCGGCAGGCCUAACACAUGCAAGUCGAGCGGAUAAAGGGAGCUUGCUCCUGGAUUCAGCGGCGGACGGGUGAGUAAUGCCUAGGAAUCUGCCUGGUAGUGGGGGAUAACGUCCGGAAACGGGCGCUAAUACCGCAUACGUCCUGAGGGAGAAAGUGGGGGAUCUUCGGACCUCACGCUAUCAGAUGAGCCUAGGUCGGAUUAGCUAGUUGGUGGGGUAAAGGCCUACCAAGGCGACGAUCCGUAACUGGUCUGAGAGGAUGAUCAGUCACACUGGAACUGAGACACGGUCCAGACUCCUACGGGAGGCAGCAGUGGGGAAUAUUGGAUAAUGGGCGAAAGCCUGAUCCAGCCAUGCCGCGUGUGUGAAGAAGGUCUUCGGAUUGUAAAGCACUUUAAGUUGGGAGGAAGGGCAGUAAGUUAAUACCUUGCUGUUUUGACGUUACCAACAGAAUAAGCACCGGCUAACUUCGUG
This 484-nucleotide ribosomal RNA is filed under the name uncultured bacterium. RNAcentral describes it as "partial 16S ribosomal RNA". It matches the Rfam family "Bacterial small subunit ribosomal RNA", at positions 30 to 507 of the family's 1533-position model. The record is from RNAcentral.